Long non-coding RNA from Fundulus heteroclitus (mummichog), 260 nucleotides. RefSeq lists it as uncharacterized. The transcript is spliced from 3 exons. NCBI's taxonomy places the organism in Eukaryota, Metazoa, Chordata, Actinopteri, Cyprinodontiformes, Fundulidae. The record is from RefSeq and is a predicted model, not a curated record.
CUUCCGAGGAGACCUACGUUUCUGCAAGUGGUCGAAUAAAGUUAAAGAAGGGAGCAGUACCAUCUAAAUUCCCGUGGAAUGAUUGGGACAAAGGAACAGGUGAGCAAUCUGCAAGGCGAGCAAGAAAACGCCUUGCAGCUGACAAUGAGAUGCCCGUUCCAGGGAGCAGCACAGAGGAUUGGUCACACCUUGAAGAGGAAGAACUGCUAAGCGGACCAAACUGACCAGCAUCAUAUCCACCAAGCAUGGCACAAUCACAG